GGUAGAAGAGGAGUAAGGGCAAGGAGACAAGUCUCGGAUGAAAUUCGAGCCACUUUAGUGGACCAUGUUCUUGUCCCUGAGGGAGGCUAGGCAACGAGUCCAGCCUAAUGUGAGUCGCUUCACCGUCACCUCCAUCAUCAGAACUUUCAGGGAGGAAAACAGGAUACAGAGACGACCAUCUGGUGGUGGGAGGCUAAGGCUUUUGUCAGAGGAGCAAGAGAGGGAGCUUGUAAACAUGGUCAUUGCCAAUAAUGUAAUCCGCCUGCGAGAGAUUCAAAGGAGAGUGAUUGAGGAUAAUCCAUCAGCCUUUCCACAAUUGAUCGCAUCCUCCGAAAGCAUCGGUUCCGGAUGAAACAGGUGUACAGGGUAAAAGAGUGGAAUAUGUUCAGAGAAUCUUUGAGUUUGAAGGCUGGCCUGUUCCACCUGAAAUUAUCUUUGUGGAUGAGGCUGGUUUCAACCUCACCAAAAGAAGGAGAUGUAGGAGGAAUAUAAUCGGCCAUCAGGCUAUUGUAAAUGUCCCUGGUCAGCGUGCAGGGAAUGUCACGAUGUGCGCAGC
Esox lucius (northern pike) is the source of this 556-nucleotide long non-coding RNA. RefSeq lists it as uncharacterized. NCBI's taxonomy places the organism in Eukaryota, Metazoa, Chordata, Actinopteri, Esociformes, Esocidae. The record is from RefSeq and is a predicted model, not a curated record. The transcript has 3 exons.